GGAGCCGUAGCGAAAGCGAGUUUUAACUGAGCGUUCAUACAUGACGUAGAGCCGUACCCGGGCGUGCUACCCAUGCGCAGGAUGAAGCAAAAGAAAAUUUUCGUGGAGAUGCGGACCCACGAGCGUUGAACAGCGCGGGGAUGACUUGUGGGUAGCGGUGAAAUUCCAAUCGCACCUUGAG
Molecule: ribosomal RNA, 181 nt
Filed under: Clostridioides difficile
Lineage: Bacteria; Bacillati; Bacillota; Clostridia; Peptostreptococcales; Peptostreptococcaceae
Description: partial 23S ribosomal RNA
Rfam family: Bacterial large subunit ribosomal RNA
Source: RNAcentral